CUAGAGUGCAGUAGGGGAGACUGGAAUUCCCGGUGUAACGGUGGAAUGUGUAGAUAUCGUGAAGAACACCAAUGGCGAAGGCAGGUCUCUGGGCUGUUACUGACGCUGAGAAGCGAAAGCGUGGGGAGCGAACAGGAUUAGAUACCCAGGUAGUCCACGCCGUAAACGGUGGACGCUGGAUGUGGGGCCCAUUCCACGGG
Molecule: ribosomal RNA, 200 nt
Filed under: Gardnerella vaginalis
Lineage: Bacteria; Bacillati; Actinomycetota; Actinomycetes; Bifidobacteriales; Bifidobacteriaceae
Description: partial 16S ribosomal RNA
Rfam family: Bacterial small subunit ribosomal RNA
Source: RNAcentral